UGGGGAAUAUUGCACAAUGGGCGCAAGCCUGAUGCAGCCAUGCCGCGUGUGUGAAGAAGGCCUUCGGGUUGUAAAGCACUUUCAGCGAGGAGGAAGGUGGUGAGCUUAAUACGCUCAUCAAUUGACGUUACUCGCAGAAGAAGCACCGGCUAACUCCGUGCCAGCAGCCGCGGUAAUACGGAGGGUGCAAGCGUUAAUCGGAAUUACUGGGCGUAAAGCGCACGCAGGCGGUUUGUUAAGUCAGAUGUGAAAUCCCCGGGCUCAACCUGGGAACUGCAUUUGAAACUGGCAAGCUAGAGUCUCGUAGAGGGGGUAGAAUUCCAGGUGUAGCGGUGAAAUGCGUAGAGAUCUGGAGGAAUACCGGUGGCGAAGGCGGCCCCCUGGACGAAGACUGACGCUCAGGUGCGAAAGCGCGGGGAGCAAACAGGAUUAGAUACCCUGGUAGUCCACGCUGUAAACGAUGUCGAUUUUGGAGGUUGUGCCCUUGGGGCGUGGCUUCCGGAGCUAACGCGUUAAAUCGACCGCCUGGGGAGUACGGCCGCAAGGUUAAAACUC
RNAcentral lists this ribosomal RNA (555 nucleotides) under uncultured bacterium. Its description in RNAcentral is "partial 16S ribosomal RNA". It matches the Rfam family "Bacterial small subunit ribosomal RNA", at positions 355 to 902 of the family's 1533-position model. The record is from RNAcentral.